GACGAACGCUGGCGGCGUGCUUAACACAUGCAAGUCGAACGGUAAGGCCCUUCGGGGUACACGAGUGGCGAACGGGUGAGUAACACGUGGGUGAGUUGCCCUGCACUUCGGGAUAAGCCUGGGAAACUGGGUCUAAUACCGGAUAGGACUCCGGACUGCAUGGUCUGGGGUGGAAAGCUUUUGCGGUGUGGGAUGGGCCCGCGGCCUAUCAGCUUGUUGGUGGGGUGAUGGCCUACCAAGGCGACGACGGGUAGCCGGCCUGAGAGGGUGACCGGCCACACUGGGACUGAGAUACGGCCCAGACUCCUACGGGAGGCAGCAGUGGGGAAUAUUGCACAAUGGGCGCAAGCCUGAUGCAGCGACGCCGCGUGAGGGAUGACGGCCUUCGGGUUGUAAACCUCUUUCAGCAUCGACGAAGCGAAAGUGACGGUAGGUGCAGAAGAAGGACCGGCCAACUACGUGCCAGCCGCCGCGGUAC
This 478-nucleotide ribosomal RNA is filed under the name uncultured bacterium. RNAcentral describes it as "partial 16S ribosomal RNA". It matches the Rfam family "Bacterial small subunit ribosomal RNA", at positions 28 to 523 of the family's 1533-position model. The record is from RNAcentral.